CAAGUAUCUGCGAAGUUGAGGUCGGAUGGAGCGAGAACAGAAUCUUCUUCAACAGCCUUUCUUGGUUUGAGGUUCAAUCGCUCGCUCAGAGCCAUCACCUGCUAUCAGAGUAGACUGACGGUCUGUGUGGUACUUAAGGCCAAUUCCCCAAUGGGAAGCUGGGGGAACCCCUGCUCCAACACCUCUGCUGGUAACUGCUUCUGCGCUGCGGAUUCCCAGCGGCACACAUUAUUUUACGAGUUUCCACAUACUGCUGAUUCAUAG
This 264-nucleotide long non-coding RNA is filed under the name Mustela putorius furo (domestic ferret). Its description in RNAcentral is "lncRNA (ENSMPUG00000028576.1)". Lineage: Eukaryota; Metazoa; Chordata; Mammalia; Carnivora; Mustelidae. The record is from RNAcentral.